RNAcentral lists this ribosomal RNA (1203 nucleotides) under Leuconostoc mesenteroides. Its description in RNAcentral is "bacterial SSU rRNA". Lineage: Bacteria; Bacillati; Bacillota; Bacilli; Lactobacillales; Lactobacillaceae. The record is from RNAcentral.
AAGUCGAACGCACAGCGAAAGGUGCUUGCACCUUUCAAGUGAGUGGCGAACGGGUGAGUAACACGUGGACAACCUGCCUCAAGGCUGGGGAUAACAUUUGGAAACAGAUGCUAAUACCGAAUAAAACUUAGUGUCGCAUGACACAAAGUUAAAAGGCGCUUCGGCGUCACCUAGAGAUGGAUCCGCGGUGCAUUAGUUAGUUGGUGGGGUAAAGGCCUACCAAGACAAUGAUGCAUAGCCGAGUUGAGAGACUGAUCGGCCACAUUGGGACUGAGACACGGCCCAAACUCCUACGGGAGGCUGCAGUAGGGAAUCUUCCACAAUGGGCGAAAGCCUGAUGGAGCAACGCCGCGUGUGUGAUGAAGGCUUUCGGGUCGUAAAGCACUGUUGUAUGGGAAGAACAGCUAGAAUAGGAAAUGAUUUUAGUUUGACGGUACCAUACCAGAAAGGGACGGCUAAAUACGUGCCAGCAGCCGCGGUAAUACGUAUGUCCCGAGCGUUAUCCGGAUUUAUUGGGCGUAAAGCGAGCGCAGACGGUUUAUUAAGUCUGAUGUGAAAGCCCGGAGCUCAACUCCGGAAUGGCAUUGGAAACUGGUUAACUUGAGUGCAGUAGAGGUAAGUGGAACUCCAUGUGUAGCGGUGGAAUGCGUAGAUAUAUGGAAGAACACCAGUGGCGAAGGCGGCUUACUGGACUGCAACUGACGUUGAGGCUCGAAAGUGUGGGUAGCAAACAGGAUUAGAUACCCUGGUAGUCCACACCGUAAACGAUGAACACUAGGUGUUAGGAGGUUUCCGCCUCUUAGUGCCGAAGCUAACGCAUUAAGUGUUCCGCCUGGGGGAGUACGACCGCAAGGUUGAAACUCAAAGGAAUUGACGGGGGACCCGCACAAGCGGUGGGAGCAUGUGGUUUUAAUUCGAAGCAACGCGAAAGAACCUUACCAGGGUCUUGGACAUCCUUUUGAAGCUUUUUAGAAGAUAGAAAGUGUUUCUCUUUCGGAAAACAAAGUUGACAAGGUGGGUGCAUGGGUCGUUCGUCAGCCUCGUGUUCGUGARAAUGUUUGGGUUUAAGUUCCCGGCAAACGAAGCGCCAACCCCUUAAUUGGUUAGUUUGCCCAGCCAUUUCAGAAUGGGGCCACUUCUAGGCGGARAACUGGCCGGGUGAACMAAACCCGGAAGGAAAGGGCGGGGGAACGAACGUUCRGA